This 252-nucleotide ribosomal RNA is filed under the name uncultured bacterium. Its description in RNAcentral is "partial 16S ribosomal RNA". It matches the Rfam family "Bacterial small subunit ribosomal RNA", at positions 524 to 776 of the family's 1533-position model. The record is from RNAcentral.
UACGUAGGGGGCAAGCGUUGUCCGGAAUCAUUGGGCGUAAAGAGCGUGUAGGCGGCUCGGUAAGUCCGCUGUGAAAGUCCAGGGCUCAACCCUGGAAUGCCGGUGGAAACUCCUGGUCUAGAGGCCGGUAGAGGGGGUGGAAUUCCGGGUGUAGUGGUGAAAUGCGUAGAGAUCCGGAGGAACACCCGUGGCGAAGGCGGCCCCCUGGGCCGCGCCUGACGCUGAGACGCGAAAGCGCGGGGAGCGAACGGG